GCCUGCUGUAAGCAGCAGCAGGCCUGUGCUUCUUACUGCCUGUGUAGCCAGAAAACACUGGUCUCAGAGCUCUGAGGGUGCUGGAGCCGAAAGCACUUGACAUUGAUGCUUUAGGACAGAUGCUGAAUCUGACACAUAUGCAUAUUCAUCAUCUUCACCGUGCAUUCAUUGAAAACCUAUCAUGUGUGUCAUCCCUGCAGGUGCAAAGAAGCUUAACAUACAAUGUCCGCCCACCCAUCAUCUACCCUUCGAGGGCAAGCAGUGUGGAAAGUCAAAAGUGUUAAGAAGAACUGAAGAGGAAAAAAACCUGAAUUUACUCAAGAUCUUUCUGACAUUUCUUGCCAAAAUAUUAACCAGUAAAUGUUGGAAUCCUUUUUUCCACAUAAAAUAUCUUUAUAAAGGUCUAAAACUGUAAGAAAUAGGUGACUUUUAAACAAACAUUGGCUAAAGGUGCCUUUAAUCGUUUUGGGUGGGGAAUAUUUUGAAAUCAAGUAUUUUAUGUUAUGUGAAUUAAUGUCAAGGAAAGAAAUAUUACCUAAAGAUUUUUCCUUGCUAUCUUUUCCAAAGGGUCAUUUUAGAGAAUGGUGUAUCUGAAUAAACUUUUAAUUUAUUUGUGUCUUUUUCUCCAUAAAAUAUGCUCAGCAAAAGAAAGGACGUCUAAAUUGGGGUUUGCUUGGAAUUGUAUGG
Molecule: long non-coding RNA, 687 nt
Filed under: Homo sapiens (human)
Lineage: Eukaryota; Metazoa; Chordata; Mammalia; Primates; Hominidae
Description: HSALNT0086666
Source: RNAcentral